This 302-nucleotide small nuclear RNA is filed under the name Jaculus jaculus (lesser Egyptian jerboa). Its description in RNAcentral is "7SK RNA (ENSJJAG00000005433.1)". It matches the Rfam family "7SK RNA". Rfam says of the family: 7SK was discovered as an abundant small nuclear RNA in the mid-70s but a possible function has only recently been suggested. Two independent studies have found that 7SK RNA binds the CDK9/cyclin T complex (known as elongation factor P-TEFb). P-TEFb activates transcription by phosphorylating the C-terminal domain of RNA polymerase II. The record is from RNAcentral. Lineage: Eukaryota; Metazoa; Chordata; Mammalia; Rodentia; Dipodidae.
GUAUGUAAGGGUGAUCUGGCUGAGACCUCUGUCAUCUGUUGAUAGCCAGGAUUGGUAGGACUUAUCUUGCUGGCUAGGCAGGUGUCUCCUUCCUCUCCUACUGAUCCAUAUUCAUUCAUCCUGAAGCUGUGCACUAAAUCAAAGAACAUGACCUUCCCAGAUAAUGGGAGACCAUUUCUCAGUAAAGGUUAUAGUGAGUAACUCCAUUCCUAGGCUCAAAUUUCCAAACAAACUCACAGUCAGAAAAGUUUCAUAAGUCUGAAAUAAUAUCAUGUCACUUGAUGUUUUCUCUGGAAAUAGUG